This 217-nucleotide long non-coding RNA is filed under the name Elaeis guineensis (African oil palm). RNAcentral's name for it is "long non-coding RNA (EGUI_LNC068591)". Lineage: Eukaryota; Viridiplantae; Streptophyta; Magnoliopsida; Arecales; Arecaceae. The record is from RNAcentral.
UAGAUAGGAUGAGUUAGGAUCAUAUCUUUAGAGAUCAAAGGACUGAGUUGUGUUCAAAUUAAAAAAUAAAGUAAAGAAUUAAGAUUUUAAGAUUUUAAAAAGAUAAAAGAAAUAAGUUUGAUAGAAAUAAAGUUAAGAAAAAUCAAGUGAAAGAAAGUGCCUCAAAUUUUCAAAUCCAUCCUUUAAUCACAUAUUUGUAUUUUAAUUCAAGCAAGCU